RNAcentral lists this long non-coding RNA (4390 nucleotides) under Nicotiana tabacum (common tobacco). RNAcentral's name for it is "long non-coding RNA (NTAB_LNC003013)". The record is from RNAcentral. Lineage: Eukaryota; Viridiplantae; Streptophyta; Magnoliopsida; Solanales; Solanaceae.
UAAAUAAACAAUAACUCACUUCAAUAUAACUAAAAAUUGUUCAAUACAUAAGCACAACAAGAUAUUUAAUCCACACUUUAAUAUGAAUAUUUCCAUUAACAAGAUUCAAGUGUUGAAAAAAAUACUACACACUUAAAUAUUCAAUAUAAAGUAAGGAAAUGAAGAAAUGAGCAUAAAUGAGUAAGCAAUUCUCAACCAAAAGCUUCAAAUCUUCAAGACCUAAGUGUGUGUGCAAGCUGACCAGGCUUUCUUUUUGGCAUUCGCACAGCUUCAACCGCGUUCGCAUAGCUUCAUUAACCCGGACUUCUGCGAUUGCAUAUAACUCUCCGUGAUAUUAAACUAGUACUUGUCCUCAAGCAAUUCGACAACUAAGAACAUCAUUAAAUAAAAUAAGCUCAAUGGCGUAUCAAACAUCAUUUCAGCUCACAAAGGUUCAAAUUGGACACAAUCUAGUGACUUCAGUUGGUACCAACAAUCAAUCCAAAAAAUAUGAAUCACCAACAAUUUCUCACAAAUUCCAUUUAAAUUUAAGUGCUGAAACACCACAGUAAUCAAAGUAGAAACCAAGUCAUGACACUAAAGCUUCAAAAUUUGCCUCAUUAUUACAAAUAAUUUUCUUUUGUACAUUCCUGCCUAUUGGAUUUUGGAUUAAGUUCAAAACCUAAAAUUUUCUGUGCCCUCACACUUAAGACAGAGUCACCAACAUAUAAAUUGCAAUUAAUAAACAAAUGGGAUAUCAAAUGGAAAGAAUUAAUGCUCUCUCAUACAAAGAUAUUCAAAUGCACAUAAGUAAUGACAUAUGCUUGCCCUUCAAGUAUUUCUCCACUAAUGUAGACACUUGGUUCAAAAUAAAGUAGGACUUAAAGGAUGGUAGAGUAGGUUUUUGGUUAAGGUAGGACACAACAUGGAUAACAGUGACUCAAAACCUCCCUAAGCACUAUAAUUUUCAACUAUUAAAGCACACUUCCUUCAAAAAUUUAUCCAUCCUUUCUUCACUUUUUAUUUCAUACCUAAUCUUCCCUUUAUCCACAAAUCCUUAUUUUUUUCCCUUUUCUUCUUUAUUACUCUACUUUUUUCAUAAAUCAAGGAAGGUUCCACUACUAUUUUUUUAUUACCUUUCACCUUUUCUGCAACUUACACAACAUAACUUUUCCAACCUUCAGCCACAAACUUAGGCUUUUAGCCUAUGUUUACACUUUCAAAGUACUUAGGGAGGUAGGAUGCCAAAAGAUAAAUCAAUAAAGAAUGAAGGGUUUAAGCUUGUAACAUAGUUGCCAAAGAAAAAGUUUAAAGGCUCAAAAGGGGCUGACUAGGGAAAAUCUGCAAGGGUAGAAAAUUUAAGGCAUAAUAACGGUCCAAGGAAGGCCUAACAUCAUUUUUCAAACCAAGUUAGUCUAGGAUUUUGCUUUGAAGCACAUUCCGGGCAAGUUCUAGACUACAAAUAAUGCACGAGAAUUCACAACAAGUCUCACCACACAUGGCACAUGGAAACUCGAUUGCCAUAUAAAUCCAAAAUCCAAUUAAAAUCAAUAAACCGAAAGAAAAUCACAUAUAGCCUAAAAGACCACUUAAUGAAUCAAAGAGCCAAAAAUAGAACCUAAACUUCACAACAAGUAUUAUCACAUCAAUCAUUUUUCAUUUUAAAGAUCAAGAUUUCAUAUAUCAAAGUUUAAAUCAUGUUGGUACCAAACAAGCUACACGUUGGUUUAUGGACAAUAAGAUCACAACCCAAAACCAAUUUAUUCACUAUUAGCUACUAAACUAACUAAAUUUUUUUUACCUAAAACUAGACAAGACUAAUCCUUUAAGAAAGUUGUCACGCUAUCCAUCAUAGAGAAAAGUCACCCGGUUCGACACAAAUUAUCUUCUUGAAAAAGAACAGUGACAUAAAUAAAAAUCAAGGAGUUUAAUUAGCACUACUACAAAUAAAUAUAGUAACGAAAUAACAAAAUAAAAACUAAUGCUAACAUGCUAGAAAUAAACUACAAAAUAUCACUAAUAAACUACAAAUGUUAACCAAUCUACACAAGUUCACAAAAAAUCGUCAUGCUCCAAAUACAUCAUCACAUAUUAAUGAGCUACCCCUAACCUAAAGUGUUGCACUGUCCUCAAUGCAACUAAACAAAACAAGAUGAAAUGAAAGAGGUGCUCCCUGAAACUGCAUCACUUGGAGCUGAAAGUGGUGGGAAAUUCGAGCUCCAAAUUCUGCUCCUCAUCGUCCUCUGAUUCAUGUGAGCCACAGAAUGAACUCAUCUUGUGCAUCAUUUUGGACAAGACUUUUCUUUUCUUUUUCUCAUGCUCAUUGAAAUUCUGUUGUUGCCUCUCAAUAUUUCCUUGUCUUCGGCUCAUGUCUUCCAACCUAUUUUUUAUUGCUUUUUGUUCUUGAACUACAUCAUCUAGAGAUGUCUUCUUACCAGUCCCAGUAGAAGUUCCCUCCCUAGAUUGACUGGACGGAAGGCUAGCUACAAGUUGGCAAAUGUGUGCAUCGAUGCCAUAGAUUUGACUAGAGAGGAAGCGCAUAGUGGGAGGUCCAUAAAUUCCUAAAUUAUAGAUUUGUCAUCCAUAAUAGCAGCAAUCAACAAUGCCUUCUCAGGCGUCGCCUCAAACUCAUGUUUAGACGGCAAGAUUCUGGUAGCAAUAAUGGACAGCCAUGUCUUGGCUUCAACUAUGAACCAGGAAGAAUUAACACCUUUGUGCAAUCUUUCCCAAGUCAGAGUCACCCGUAGUCCGCAACACAUUUUAUAUAACAUUGUUGAGAUUUGGAUUUGGGUCACAUGAAAUGCACACCGGAGUUUAGGAAGGUAAUUUAAAAUUACGCGCCUAAAGCAACUACGCACUUUAAAGUUUGCAAGGGCCAUGGAAAAUUCAACUAAUGGCACACCUCGAUUCUAAUUUCAAAGGAUGUUUGAACUAAACUUUUGAGGGUCAUAAAUUAUAUCUUGCCUAAUAUGGCACACCUCUAAUUAUUUCAAAGGGUUUUAUUAUUUGAAGUUGUUAUAAUCGGGUUACAUGAAAUGCAUACCUGAAUUUAGAAAAUUAAGCAUCGUAACUAUGUCACAGGAACCGUACCCAUAAUCACGAUGGUUUAUUAUUAAUCGCGUCUAAAGUAAGCUAUGAUGUUUAAAGAACAAACUCAAACAAGUGACACUGGAACAUCAACCAACAGAGCAGAUGGCCAAGAAAUUCAAAAAUCCACAUCAAUUAAAUCAACAAAGAAAUAGCAAUUUGAAGAAUUCUAUAUGAGCUCAGCUCAAAGACAAUGUGAAUGGAACUGAAGCAAGAAUUUCAGUGCAAUGUAUCAAAAACGAGACUACUGAAUCACUCAAGCUUGGCCAAUCGAGUUUGCGCACAAAAAUUUGUUCCUUGAAAGACUAUUUCCACGAAUGAGCUUAUAGAUUCUAGGCACCCCAUGCUCAUUUGUUUAGAGCAAAUUAAGAACAAUCCAAAGAACAACAAAUCAUGACUUAAUCUAUUGGUAAUUAAUCAUAUAGUAGCCAACAAUUGCGAUUAAAUUGAUGUAAUGAAAUUCCUUCAGUUCUACCUAUGGGACUACACCAAUUAGUCGUUCAUUUGCCUUUUACAUGUUUUCAUUAACGUUUCCCUUCACCAUUUCACAAGAAGACAAAGAAGAAAAAUGCACAUUUAUAUGUUUGUUUCCAAUAGAAUAAACACAAUAAAUUCUAACUUAGCAACUCAACCUUAUGUUUCAAUGUAAGGCUCCAGCGAUUAAACAGAUCAAUAAUAAUUAUCAAACAAAAUAAUGACCGAGAUGGUGACAUAUGAAAAAUUUCUAACAAUUCUUAUUACCAAUAAAAUAUGCAAAUUUAUAUUGUUUAAUCAAGGAAAAGUACCUUGAAAGCAGUAACAAGGCUUUAAAAUUGCCAAAUAAUGGUUGAAAAAUACCAGUUAGCAAUUCCGGUGCAAACAGCAACAAAUACAGCAGCAAUUCACGGAAAUUUCAAACCGAAGUAAUGCUUAUGAACCCAAAAAAUGGGAAUGACCACUAGUAGCAAGUUUCGACUCAAAGCUUUAGAGAAAACCCAAGAAUUUGCAGCAAUUUAUGUCGAACUUAGGAACACCCUUUUAAUUUUCUUUUUUCGUCGACUUGACUCGAUUUCUGAACAGAGAAGGGGAAUUAAAGGUGGGGAAUAACGUUCCCUUUGUUGAAAAUCAGAAGAUGAGCGAGUUGAGGAAGGAUAAGGAAAGCGGAUGUUUUGAUUUUUCUUUGGAGAAAACGAGGGGAAAUAGGUUAGGUUUCAUUGGAUGUAGAAGAAGGAUGAAGCCAUUUGAAAAUGGAAUGGAGGACUGAAUUUUUGGUCUCUAGGCAGCCAUUAAAGGUGCUGCCCCUAGCUUCUCUCCAGGGGAGCCUCCCUAUCUCCUUAGGUUUUGU